ACACAAAUGUAGUAGUAAAAAUAGAUCCAUCGGGCGAGCUUGUAUCGUCGGAAGGAUCAACGGAGGAGAGUCCCACAUGACCCCGUGAUAUCAUCGCCCGCAGCGGGGUCAACACACAUUCUGGGUCAAUCAACGGAAUGUGACCGCA
Molecule: long non-coding RNA, 148 nt
Organism: Hyposmocoma kahamanoa
Lineage: Eukaryota; Metazoa; Arthropoda; Insecta; Lepidoptera; Cosmopterigidae
Exons: 3
Source: RefSeq, a predicted model, not a curated record